RNAcentral lists this long non-coding RNA (1302 nucleotides) under Papio anubis (olive baboon). Its description in RNAcentral is "lncRNA (ENSPANG00000048957.1)". The record is from RNAcentral. Lineage: Eukaryota; Metazoa; Chordata; Mammalia; Primates; Cercopithecidae.
UGCCUGCACUGCAAUGAGCUUUGCAUCAAUCUCUGCCACACCUCGGGAUGUAGGAACCAUGAGUACCUGUCUUUGCAGCUGGGGACACAGGCUCCACAGUUGCACGGCUAUACCAGGUCAUGGAACCUUUCAGGUGCCACCACCAGCAGGCAAUGCUCCCUUCUGGGGGCAGAGCACGGGGCUCCCUGGCUGGGCUCAGACUCGGUGCUGGGCCUACCUCUCCCUGGGGCUUCACUACCCCAGCCCCAGCUAGUCCUGGCAGCAGCAGAGAGCUGGGAGCUGGCCUCCAACCCCUCCCCUUACUCCAGCUGGGUACUUACUUCCUGGGUCCCGCCUGCCCCCAGUCCAGGUGUGGGCUGGGAUGGUGUGGGGGGCGGCGAGGUGGGCAGGGCAGGAGGCUGGACACCACUUCUCUGGCUUUUCUUGAGAAAGGGCCCCUCCGGCCACACCUUCCUGGGCCGCUAUCAGAAGCCAAACAGAGCCGAGGAGUGUCAACGCCUCAGGCCUCCACCUGGCAGCUGGUGCCCGUGGGCUGGGGGCCAGGCGGGAACACCGCAGACCCCUCUGAGCCCAGAGCUCUGUGCUAUUUUUAACACCACUGGGAGAAGUUGGGCAAAUAGUGUGGGCCCGUCCCCGCAGCCCUGUGACCUCCACCCCUGUGUUUGCACUCUCACUGGGCAAACAGGCAGUGAUAAGGCAGAGAUUAGAGGGAUCGUUCAGCUCCCAAUAAACAGCUUCUUCUCCCCCAGCGUGGAAUUCCCAGCACCAGACCCCAGGCUGGCAGCUGCAAGGGCUGAGAAUGCAGGCGCCCCAGCCCUGCCCCCGCCCCUGCCCCGCCCUGCCCCGACCCAGCAAGGCUCUGGCUUCCCGGUCCGAGGCAUCUCCAGCACCCCAGGGCACUCUACCAGCCCAGGAUCCCCUGCCGCCCCCGCAGUCCCACCCCGCAGGUGGGCAUCUGCCUUAUGGUGUUGGGGUUUGUCUCCAGCAAGGGCCGACCAGGUUGGGGUUGGAUGGACGUGGUUGGAGCUCGGCCACUGUGCACCUGCUGUCUGCUUUGCCGUCGCUGCCCCAUCCAGCCUGGCUCUCCAUCUUUUGGUGCUGUCUAGGAAGAGACGAGGUGGCAGAGGGGACGUGCCGGCACACAGCAGGCACUUGGCAAGCCGGCGACCUGGCCUCCUCGCCCCACACUGGCCAGACUGGCUCCCUCAGCUGCCCCCUGGCCUGCGCCUGGCCUCCCUCCUGCACCCGCUCCAGCUGGCCCGAGUCCCCUUGAAAGUGCAGGACCAGGAGGGGACACGGUAG